Molecule: ribosomal RNA, 426 nt
Filed under: uncultured Rheinheimera sp.
Lineage: Bacteria; Pseudomonadati; Pseudomonadota; Gammaproteobacteria; Chromatiales; Chromatiaceae
Description: bacterial SSU rRNA
Rfam family: Bacterial small subunit ribosomal RNA
Source: RNAcentral
GGGGAAUAUUGGACAAUGGGCGCAAGCCUGAUCCAGCCAUGCCGCGUGUGUGAAGAAGGCCUUAGGGUUGUAAAGCACUUUCAGCGAGGAGGAAGGGAUAGGCGUUAAUAGCGGCUAUUUUUGACGUUACUCGCAGAAGAAGCACCGGCUAACUCCGUGCCAGCAGCCGCGGUAAUACGGAGGGUGCAAGCGUUAAUCGGAAUUACUGGGCGUAAAGCGCACGUAGGCGGUUCGUUAAGUUGGAUGUGAAAGCCCCGGGCUCAACCUGGGAAUUGCAUUCAAAACUGGCAGACUAGAGUAUGUGAGAGGGGGGUAGAAUUCCAAGUGUAGCGGUGAAAUGCGUAGAUAUCGGGAAGAACACCAGUGGCGAAGGCGGCUCUCUGGCCUAGAACUGACGCUAAGGCGCGAAAGCGUGGGGAGCGAACG